Neopsephotus bourkii (Bourke's parrot) is the source of this 128-nucleotide long non-coding RNA. RefSeq lists it as uncharacterized. The record is from RefSeq and is a predicted model, not a curated record. Lineage: Eukaryota; Metazoa; Chordata; Aves; Psittaciformes; Psittacidae. The transcript has 2 exons.
GGGGGACGGCGUGCCGGAGGAGCCCAGGGCAGAGCCGGCUCCCUCCGGCGCCGGGCGACUCCCAGACCGGGACUCCUCGUACGCCUUCCGAAGCAGCAGCAUCCCGAGCAGUAGCGUUCCCCCCACAG